RNAcentral lists this long non-coding RNA (1160 nucleotides) under Gallus gallus (chicken). Its description in RNAcentral is "lncRNA (ENSGALG00010026717.1)". The record is from RNAcentral. Lineage: Eukaryota; Metazoa; Chordata; Aves; Galliformes; Phasianidae.
CAAAUAACACACUGAGAUUGUGCAGCGGUGAAAGGCCUCAUGGUCCAAGAACAUUGUAAUGACAACUGCAGUCUGAUGUGCCACAUAGCCUAUUGUAUUCUCUUUGGUACUAAGAUAAAAAACAGAACACAUCAUUGCCUACAGAUCUUUUCUAAAAGAGAGAUGAACAUUUGAGUGCAAGAACCUCAGGUUCAGGAACACAGUUUCAUUUUUGCACACCAACAAAUUAUUAGAAUUAAAUGGAAAAAUCCAUGUGAUCUGCAAGUGCUUACCAAUUAUCUAGCUUGAUACCCAAACAGUGACUUGUAUGGACAACCUCUAUGGGCACUUUAACAGAGUUCACUGUACCAGUAGUCUAUAGUCAGUUGCCUCAUCCUCACUGCAUCAUCCCGCACCAAACCAGCAGGAGCAGCAGCUGAAGAGCAGUUAUUCCCCUCCACACAGCACCUGAGAGAUGGCAUCUGAAGCAUCGUGGUCUUCCUGGUGCAAGACAGACAUUGUGCUGGAACAGGCCACCACAGUGGAGAGGUGCUGGGGCACACCCAACACCCAGAGCUGGGCCUGCUCAGUCUAGAGAAGAGAAAGCAGAGCAGACAUCUUGCCUACCACUGCCUAUGGCCACUUGCUGAGGGUUACACAGGAGCAAGGUGAACCAGGUGGCAAGAACCUCCCUGCCUCCAGUACAGCCUUUCAGAGGUCUUUUAGUGCUUCACCAUCUGCCAGAUGAAGAUGAUGAGUGCUACUGUGCUCUCACAGAAGAGAUUUCUUCAGCAAAACUCCUAGCUCAGAGGCUGCACCUGAAACAUGGAGUUAGACAUCAGGUAAGCUGCGAAGCACUGACUGUUGGGUCAAAGCGUCUUCUGUGCUUAUUGGACACACUGGGGGCAUUUCCAAAGCAGGCAAGACAGGCAAGUGUUGGAUUACUUGAUACAUGCAUGGCCUGUGGUCUAUGGAAAUGCUUUAAAAAUACGGAGAUUAUAUUGUGUGUCUGUGUGUGUAUGUAUAAAAAUAUGUAAUAUCUUAUAAAAUACUAAUAAUUAUACAUUAUAGUAAAUCUUUUUCUUUUUUAAUUGUUUUUAUUGGUUACUUUUCAUUUUUAUUUUAUUUUUUGUUAUUUUUUAUUUCUUUUUUGUUUUUAUUGUUAUUUAUUAUUCUUUUUU